Molecule: ribosomal RNA, 501 nt
Filed under: uncultured bacterium
Lineage: Bacteria
Description: bacterial SSU rRNA
Rfam family: Bacterial small subunit ribosomal RNA
Source: RNAcentral
AGCGAACGCUGGCGGCGUGCUUAACACAUGCAAGUCGAGUGCGUAGUUCCCUGUAGCAAUACAGGGAAUGGGCGCACGGCGCACGGGUGCGUAACACGUGGGCAACCUGCCCUCGAGUGGGGAAUAACCCCGCGAAAGCGGGGCUAAUACCGCAUAACAUUCCGGGAACCUCGGUUUCCGGACUCAAAGUCUUCGGACGCUUGAGGAGGGGCCCGCGCCCGAUUAGCUUGUUGGUAGGGUAACGGCCUACCAAGGCGAUGAUCGGUAGCCGGUCUGAGAGGAUGGCCGGCCACACUGGAACUGAGACACGGUCCAGACUCCUACGGGAGGCAGCAGUGGGGAAUCUUGCGCAAUGGGCGAAAGCCUGACGCAGCGACGCCGCGUGGGGAUGAAGCUUCUCGGAGUGUAAACCCCUUUCGACCCGGACGAAUAGCCCGCAAGGGACUUGACGGUACGGGUAGAAGAAGCCCCGGCUAACUACGUGCCAGCCGCCGCAGUAAG